RNAcentral lists this ribosomal RNA (2900 nucleotides) under Klebsiella pneumoniae. Its description in RNAcentral is "bacterial LSU rRNA". It matches the Rfam family "Bacterial large subunit ribosomal RNA". The record is from RNAcentral. Lineage: Bacteria; Pseudomonadati; Pseudomonadota; Gammaproteobacteria; Enterobacterales; Enterobacteriaceae.
UUAAGCGACUAAGCGUACACGGUGGAUGCCCUGGCAGUCAGAGGCGAUGAAGGACGUGCUAAUCUGCGAAAAGCGUCGGUAAGGUGAUAUGAACCGUUAUAACCGGCGAUGUCCGAAUGGGGAAACCCAGUGUGAUUCGUCACACUAUCGUUAACUGAAUACAUAGGUUAACGAGGCGAACCGGGGGAACUGAAACAUCUAAGUACCCCGAGGAAAAGAAAUCAACCGAGAUUCCCCCAGUAGCGGCGAGCGAACGGGGAGCAGCCCAGAGUCUGAAUCAGCUUGUGUGUUAGUGGAACGGUCUGGAAAGUCCGACGGUACAGGGUGAUAGUCCCGUACACCAAAAUGCACAGGUUGUGAACUCGAAGAGUAGGGCGGGACACGUGGUAUCCUGUCUGAAUAUGGGGGGACCAUCCUCCAAGGCUAAAUACUCCUGACUGACCGAUAGUGAACCAGUACCGUGAGGGAAAGGCGAAAAGAACCCCGGCGAGGGGAGUGAAAAAGAACCUGAAACCGUGUACGUACAAGCAGUGGGAGCACCUUCGGGUGUGACUGCGUACCUUUUGUAUAAUGGGUCAGCGACUUAUAUUCUGUAGCAAGGUUAACCGUAUAGGGGAGCCGCAGGGAAACCGAGUCUUAACUGGGCGUUAAGUUGCAGGGUAUAGACCCGAAACCCGGUGAUCUAGCCAUGGGCAGGUUGAAGGUUGGGUAACACUAACUGGAGGACCGAACCGACUAAUGUUGAAAAAUUAGCGGAUGACUUGUGGCUGGGGGUGAAAGGCCAAUCAAACCGGGAGAUAGCUGGUUCUCCCCGAAAGCUAUUUAGGUAGCGCCUCGUGAAUUCAUCUUCGGGGGUAGAGCACUGUUUCGGCUAGGGGGUCAUCCCGACUUACCAACCCGAUGCAAACUACGAAUACCGAAGAAUGUUAUCACGGGAGACACACGGCGGGUGCUAACGUCCGUCGUGAAGAGGGAAACAACCCAGACCGCCAGCUAAGGUCCCAAAGUCAUGGUUAAGUGGGAAACGAUGUGGGAAGGCACAGACAGCCAGGAUGUUGGCUUAGAAGCAGCCAUCAUUUAAAGAAAGCGUAAUAGCUCACUGGUCGAGUCGGCCUGCGCGGAAGAUGUAACGGGGCUAAACCAUGCACCGAAGCUGCGGCAGCGACACUAUGUGUUGUUGGGUAGGGGAGCGUUCUGUAAGCCUGCGAAGGUGUGCUGUGAGGCAUGCUGGAGGUAUCAGAAGUGCGAAUGCUGACAUAAGUAACGAUAAAGCGGGUGAAAAGCCCGCUCGCCGGAAGACCAAGGGUUCCUGUCCAACGUUAAUCGGGGCAGGGUGAGUCGACCCCUAAGGCGAGGCCGAAAGGCGUAGUCGAUGGGAAACAGGUUAAUAUUCCUGUACUUGGUGUUACUGCGAAGGGGGGACGGAGAAGGCUAUGUUAGCCGGGCGACGGUUGUCCCGGUUUAAGCAUGUAGGCUGGUUGUCCAGGCAAAUCCGGAUAAUCAAGGCUGAGGUGUGAUGACGAGGCACUACGGUGCUGAAGUAACAAAUGCCCUGCUUCCAGGAAAAGCCUCUAAGCAUCAGGUAACAUCAAAUCGUACCCCAAACCGACACAGGUGGUCAGGUAGAGAAUACCAAGGCGCUUGAGAGAACUCGGGUGAAGGAACUAGGCAAAAUGGUGCCGUAACUUCGGGAGAAGGCACGCUGGUGUGUAGGUGAAGUCCCUGCGGAUGGAGCUGAGACCAGUCGAAGAUACCAGCUGGCUGCAACUGUUUAUUAAAAACACAGCACUGUGCAAACACGAAAGUGGACGUAUACGGUGUGACGCCUGCCCGGUGCCGGAAGGUUAAUUGAUGGGGUUAUCCGUAAGGAGAAGCUCUUGAUCGAAGCCCCGGUAAACGGCGGCCGUAACUAUAACGGUCCUAAGGUAGCGAAAUUCCUUGUCGGGUAAGUUCCGACCUGCACGAAUGGCGUAAUGAUGGCCAGGCUGUCUCCACCCGAGACUCAGUGAAAUUGAACUCGCUGUGAAGAUGCAGUGUACCCGCGGCAAGACGGAAAGACCCCGUGAACCUUUACUAUAGCUUGACACUGAACAUUGAGCCUUGAUGUGUAGGAUAGGUGGGAGGCUUUGAAGCGUGGACGCCAGUCUGCGUGGAGCCAACCUUGAAAUACCACCCUUUAAUGUUUGAUGUUCUAACGUUGGCCCCUGACCGGGGUUGCGGACAGUGUCUGGUGGGUAGUUUGACUGGGGCGGUCUCCUCCCAAAGCGUAACGGAGGAGCACGAAGGUUAGCUAAUCCUGGUCGGACAUCAGGAGGUUAGUGCAAUGGCAUAAGCUAGCUUGACUGCGAGCGUGACGGCGCGAGCAGGUGCGAAAGCAGGUCAUAGUGAUCCGGUGGUUCUGAAUGGAAGGGCCAUCGCUCAACGGAUAAAAGGUACUCCGGGGAUAACAGGCUGAUACCGCCCAAGAGUUCAUAUCGACGGCGGUGUUUGGCACCUCGAUGUCGGCUCAUCACAUCCUGGGGCUGAAGUAGGUCCCAAGGGUAUGGCUGUUCGCCAUUUAAAGUGGUACGCGAGCUGGGUUUAGAACGUCGUGAGACAGUUCGGUCCCUAUCUGCCGUGGGCGCUGGAGAAUUGAGGGGGGCUGCUCCUAGUACGAGAGGACCGGAGUGGACGCAUCACUGGUGUUCGGGUUGUCAUGCCAAUGGCACUGCCCGGUAGCUAAAUGCGGAAGAGAUAAGUGCUGAAAGCAUCUAAGCACGAAACUUGCCCCGAGAUGAGUUCUCCCUGAGACUUUAAGUCUCCUGAAGGAACGUUGAAGACGACGACGUUGAUAGGCCGGGUGUGUAAGCGCAGCGAUGCGUUGAGCUAACCGGUACUAAUGAACCGUGAGGCUUAACCUU